This 610-nucleotide long non-coding RNA is filed under the name Citrus x clementina. RNAcentral describes it as "Citrus clementina (C. clementina) long non-coding RNA (CCLE_LNC005243)". Lineage: Eukaryota; Viridiplantae; Streptophyta; Magnoliopsida; Sapindales; Rutaceae. The record is from RNAcentral.
UCUCCUUGGUGAGAGCAUCUUUUUAGAGUUUUCAAGACAUAAAUCAUAUUAGAGCUUUUUUCUGUACCAGGCAGAGCAUUUUUGACCACCAACUCCGUAUAUUAGUUCCAUGAAGUUAAAAAAAAAAAAACCCAACAAAACCCGAAGCCACCAUCACAUCCGCGCCACACGGCUGCCGCCGCCGCCACUGGUUUCUCUUCUUUUCGGUCGAUCCUCUCUCCCAUCCGAAAGCCCUCACGCCGCCAAUCAUAACCCAACCCAUAACACCACCAUCUUGUCAUCGUAGCCACGGGAAACUAGCCAAAACAGCUGCUGAACCACCACGAAAAUCCACCUCUCUAUUCGUCGCAAUUCACAGCCUCCACCACCACCCAUUCGUCCACGAUCAUCAGCUCUUUCUUUUCAACCCACUCACGCUGCCAACCCCCGACUGGAUCGCCGAAAACUGAAACCAACCUCCACCGGCUACUUUAACUCAACUUUUUGAUCAAAUCACAACUAUUUGAGACAAACCACCACCAGUAUCACACUCAGCACCAUCAAAUCUUCCAAUUCCACCUAUCCUAGGCCAAUUUUUCAACCACCGUCGCCAGCAACACCAACUUUUGCC